This 84-nucleotide transfer RNA is filed under the name Bertelyvirus sp. RNAcentral's name for it is "tRNA-Leu". It matches the Rfam family "tRNA". Rfam says of the family: Transfer RNA (tRNA) molecules are approximately 80 nucleotides in length. Their secondary structure includes four short double-helical elements and three loops (D, anti-codon, and T loops). Lineage: Duplodnaviria; Heunggongvirae; Uroviricota; Caudoviricetes; Jeanschmidtviridae. The record is from RNAcentral. RNAcentral also lists the same sequence under 5 other names.
GCGGAAGUGGCGUAACGGUAGCCGCGCCAGACUGAGUAUCUGGUGAUCUAAAGGGUCGUGGAGGUUCGAGUCCUCUCUUCCGCA